This 411-nucleotide ribosomal RNA is filed under the name Triticum aestivum (bread wheat). RNAcentral describes it as "partial small subunit ribosomal RNA". The record is from RNAcentral. Lineage: Eukaryota; Viridiplantae; Streptophyta; Magnoliopsida; Poales; Poaceae.
AUGGAGCGUAUGGCGGCAUCUUAUUUUCAGGAAGUGUACACAAAAGACCCAACCUUAUCACCUGAUUCUGUUCUAGAUCAAAUUCAGCCCAAAGUUACAGCUGAAAUGAAUGAGCGUUUGUUGGCUCCCUGUUCAGAUAAUGAAAUUUCCGAUGCCCUGUUUCAAAUAGGCCCGCUGAAGGUACCCGGGCCAGAUGGUUUUCCAUCCCGUUUUUAUCAGAGAAACUGGGGUUGUUUAAAGGAAGAGAUCAUAGCAACCGUAAGGAAUUUCUUCGUGUCUGGGCGUAUGCCGAGUGGGGUAAAUGACACGUCCAUUGUGUUAAUCCCCAAGGUCCAACAUCCUGCUUCUCUUAAGGAUUGCUGCCCUAUUUCUUUAUGUAAUGUGGUCUACAAGAUAGUCUCAAAAUGUUAG